This 1432-nucleotide long non-coding RNA is filed under the name Suricata suricatta (meerkat). RNAcentral describes it as "lncRNA (ENSSSUG00005022547.1)". The record is from RNAcentral. Lineage: Eukaryota; Metazoa; Chordata; Mammalia; Carnivora; Herpestidae.
GCGUUUCCUCCGGCUGAUCAGGCUGCCCCAUUUUGGAUUUCCCUGGGGUUCUAGGACGCAUCUUUGUCUCUCUCGGCUGCCCUGCUCUUUCUUUCUUCCCCCUGCUUUUUGGUUUACCCUCUCAACUUUUUAUUUAGAUAGAAUUGAUGUACAACAUUGCCUUAGUUUCAGGUAUAUGACGUGAUGACUCAGUAUUUGUAUAACUGCAUGAUGACCACAGCGAGUCUAGUUAAUAUCUACCACCGCACAUAGUUACUGAAUUUUUUAAUUAAGUUUUUAAAUGUUUUAUUAUUUUUUUAUGUUUUUUAUUUAUUUUUGAGAGCCAGUGCAAGCAGGGGAGGGUCAGAGAGAGAGGGAGUUACAGAAUCUGAAGCAGGCUCCAGGCUCUGAGCUAGCUGUUAGCACAGGGCCUGAUGCCGGGCUCGAACCCACGAACCUGAGAUCAUGGCGUGAGCCAAAGCUGGAUGCUUAACUGACUGAGCCACCCAGGCGCCCCAAAUGUUUUAUUAUUUUUGAGAGCGAGAGCAUGAGUUGGGGAGAGAUGGGCGGGGAGUGGAGGGGGCACAGAGGAUCCAAAGCAGGCUCUGCGCUUUGAGAGCAGAGAGCCUGAUGUGGGGCUCAAACUGAUGAACUGCAAGAUUAUGACCUGAGCGUAAGUCAGAUGCUCAACCAACUGAGCCACCCAGGCGCCCCCAGAAUUUUUGUUUACUUAUGAUGAGAACUUUCAGGAUUUACUGUCUAAGCAACUUUCCUCCCCUUUUUCAACAGUGCUUCCUGAGAAGUAUAUUCCUUCUUGUUUGUUCCUCUCGGUUUGCAGCCUCUUCCUUAUGUCUCUGGCGUGAGCCAGUCCUGCUUGGCUGUCACCUGGAUCAGGCUAGGAAUUUGAUGAUGACUGACGCUGCUUCCUGAACCAGUCCACUAACACCAGUGGCCUUCGAUGCUCCGUGGAUGCGUCAGAGAAAGUUGGAGUAGAUGAUCUUGAAGACUCAGAGAGCUAUGAAGAUUGUGAAGUCAUUCUACAUGUGAAGCUAUGAUUUAAAUAUCAGCAGUACAGUAAGUAUUUAUGAAAGAAACACAGUAAUUGUGUGGUUGCAGCGGCUGUGACUGCAUCCUGAGACUAGGUUAAAGUGUACGUCAUGAAGGGUGAAUUUGUUUGAAUCACAUUCAACAAACCAGAGCUCUGAGAAAAUUAUAGCUCUUUCUGUGAUAAGUUACAGGUCACAAUCACACAGGAGAGAUGAGCCCUUUUGAUAGUUGGAAAAAUCUUUAUGCCUCCUUAGUGGCCCAGGGGGCCCUUUAGGAGCUCCAGGAAUGAAAAGGAAAACUUAGUAUUUGGGUUUUCUUUUUGAAAAAAGAUUUUUUUUUUUGUUUUAGUGUUUAUUCAUUUUUGAGACAGAGUGUGAGCAGGGGAUGGGCAAAGAGAGAAGGAAAC